GCAGUAGCCGCGGGAAUACGUAGGGUGCGAGCGUUAAUCGGAAUUACUGGGCGUAAAGCGUGCGCAGGCGGUUCGUUAAGACAGAUGUGAAAUCCCCGGGCUUAACCUGGGAACUGCAUUUGUGACUGGCGAGCUAGAGUAUGGCAGAGGGGGGUAGAAUUCCACGUGUAGCAGUGAAAUGCGUAGAUAUGUGGAGGAAUACCGAUGGCGAAGGCAGCCCCCUGGGAUAACACUGACGCUCAUGCACGAAAGCGUGGGGAGCAAACAGGAUUAGAGACCCCAGUAGUCCCUGUCUCUUAUAC
RNAcentral lists this ribosomal RNA (302 nucleotides) under uncultured bacterium. Its description in RNAcentral is "partial 16S ribosomal RNA". It matches the Rfam family "Bacterial small subunit ribosomal RNA", at positions 508 to 807 of the family's 1533-position model. The record is from RNAcentral.